RNAcentral lists this ribosomal RNA (1372 nucleotides) under uncultured bacterium. RNAcentral's name for it is "bacterial SSU rRNA". It matches the Rfam family "Bacterial small subunit ribosomal RNA", at positions 28 to 1381 of the family's 1533-position model. The record is from RNAcentral.
GAUGAACGCUGGCGGCGUGCCUAAUACAUGCAAGUCGAGCGAACGGACGAGAAGCUUGCUUUUCUGAUGUUAGCGGCGGACGGGUGAGUAACACGUGGAUAACCUACCUAUAAGACUGGGAUAACUUCGGGAAACCGGAGCUAAUACCGGAUAAUAUUUUGAACCGCAUGGUUCAAAAGUGAAAGACGGUCUUGCUGUCACUUAUAGAUGGAUCCGCGCUGCAUUAGCUAGUUGGUAAGGUAACGGCUUACCAAGGCAACGAUGCAUAGCCGACCUGAGAGGGUGAUCGGCCACACUGGAACUGAGACACGGUCCAGACUCCUACGGGAGGCAGCAGUAGGGAAUCUUCCGCAAUGGGCGAAAGCCUGACGGAGCAACGCCGCGUGAGUGAUGAAGGUCUUCGGAUCGUAAAACUCUGUUAUUAGGGAAGAACAUAUGUGUAAGUAACUGUGCACAUCUUGACGGUACCUAAUCAGAAAGCCACGGCUAACUACGUGCCAGCAGCCGCGGUAAUACGUAGGUGGCAAGCGUUAUCCGGAAUUAUUGGGCGUAAAGCGCGCGUAGGCGGUUUUUUAAGUCUGAUGUGAAAGCCCACGGCUCAACCGUGGAGGGUCAUUGGAAACUGGAAAACUUGAGUGCAGAAGAGGAAAGUGGAAUUCCAUGUGUAGCGGUGAAAUGCGCAGAGAUGUGGAGGAACACCAGUGGCGAAGGCGACUUUCUGGUCUGUAACUGACGCUGAUGUGCGAAAGCGUGGGGAUCAAACAGGAUUAGAUACCCUGGUAGUCCACGCCGUAAACGAUGAGUGCUAAGUGUUAGGGGGUUUCCGCCCCUUAGUGCUGCAGCUAACGCAUUAAGCACUCCGCCUGGGGAGUACGACCGCAAGGUUGAAACUCAAAGGAAUUGACGGGGGGCCGCACAAGCGGUGGAGCAUGUGGUUUAAUUCGAAGCAACGCGAAGAACCUUACCAAAUCUUGACAUCCUUUGACAACUCUAGAGAUAGAGCCUUCCCCUUCGGGGGACAAAGUGACAGGUGGUGCAUGGUUGUCGUCAGCUCGUGUCGUGAGAUGUUGGGUUAAGUCCCGCAACGAGCGCAACCCUUAAGCUUAGUUGCCAUCAUUAAGUUGGGCACUCUAAGUUGACUGCCGGUGACAAACCGGAGGAAGGUGGGGAUGACGUCAAAUCAUCAUGCCCCUUAUGAUUUGGGCUACACACGUGCUACAAUGGACAAUACAAAGGGCAGCGAAACCGCGAGGUCAAGCAAAUCCCAUAAAGUUGUUCUCAGUUCGGAUUGUAGUCUGCAACUCGACUACAUGAAGCUGGAAUCGCUAGUAAUCGUAGAUCAGCAUGCUACGGUGAAUACGUUCCCGGGUCU